RNAcentral lists this long non-coding RNA (1312 nucleotides) under Trifolium pratense (red clover). RNAcentral describes it as "long non-coding RNA (TPRA_LNC013949)". Lineage: Eukaryota; Viridiplantae; Streptophyta; Magnoliopsida; Fabales; Fabaceae. The record is from RNAcentral.
CCUUCCAUCUAGCACCAAAAUGCACUUAUGCCAAUUAAUUAUCCCUUUAUACUUAUUCACUUAUUUCCAAUUAGUUUCUAAUAAAUAUUCUUCUAUUAAUUAAAGUCGGGAUGUUACAAUCUACCCCCCUUAAAGGAAUUUCGUCCUCGAAAUUCGGAUUUUUCUUCACGCAACACCAGGGUAACCGUCUACGUUUCCGUCCGAUUUAUGACAUUGAUUCCUCCUUAUGUACAAUAUCACGACUCUUUGGUGCGUGGUUAUCCCAUAACAGUCGUUCCCGUUAUCUUUUCGUAGUUCACAUGCUUAUGAAAUGUUAGUCCUUCCGUCUACACCCUUGACGUCGAUACUGGAGUACACUUACUCCUACUAGUUCAUCAUGUUGAACUUCUCAGUUGAACCGUGUUUUCCGAACAUUGUCUCUUCUCUCAAGAGUACUUCUCUACUAACAAUCCAAGGUUUGAGUGUGACAGUGUGCAUACUUACUCAUCACACGUGCAUUACUCGUUUCACAGUCAAUUACAUCCCGUUGCUUGGAAUGAAAUUUUCCUCUCUUGACAAGUUACCAAGAUACAAGUCAACUACUAACUACAUCCUUACUUGUUGCGCACUCUGAUUCCAUCAACUUACUUUCAUUCAGUGAGAUGGUCGGUGAGUUAGACUUCAACUAGUUUCUCACUCUAGCAAUCUUCGUUACGAUUAAUUUCUUUUUAUUGCUUCCGGCAACAACUUCGUUACUCAACUAACUUCCUUAGGUCAGUAUUUGGCCUAGUUGGGUACACACCGAAACAUGGGGCACCGGUUGACGUUACAAGGUUAUCUAAAGGAUAUAAGCUUGAAUGUUAAUACUGACAAAUCCAAGAGUUUUCAUUCCCAUGGUUAUUCUCAUUUUCGAACACUACAAGCGCUCAACGUGUCAUAUGUACCACUACACCACAUGUGUCGUCUAAAUACUCUAGGAUCGAUUGAAAUAUAAAACGAGUGGAGAAAUACCUAAUUACUACAGAUCCUUCUGCCAAUAAGUUUAACUCAUCUGCAAACGGACCCGUAGUUCUGUGGGUAAAUUUCCACCUACCAUUUCAAUCCAUUCUAGUACAACACAGUGAACGAGUUGUACAUCUAACAUGCAAAUGAACUUGGGUUCGAAUUUUCUCUUAAGGGUAAGGGUUAGAUCUUGUUAGAAUUUAACUGAUAGACUAAUGUGAUGGAGAUUCAACUAAACAAUCGGGUACUAAUGUGUGGAUAGCUGAACAUAUUAGGUUUGAACUUCUAAUGCUGAGACUGAAUUGAGCUGUUUGACUUCGGACGAAUAGUG